UUCCUGUGCCUUUUGAUUGAGUGUUUCAAUGGAAGUCCAGAAUUCCAGAUGAGCAUGGGACUCCGGUCCGGCAGUACACCCUGCCCUGAGCAGAAACUCUGAGGAUGUUCUGUCCAACACACAUUAAGGGACCAGGCAGGCAGGGCUCUAUGCCUCCGUUUCUUUACUCAUGAAAUAAGACAAACACACCCAUCUCCCAUGCGAUGUACCCCCUAGCAAGAAGAAAUGAGAAAGUGCUGGGGGAGUGUUUUGAAUCUGGAGGCAGAAGAUGCCAUACCAUCCAAUUCAAGAGAAAGGGAUAAGAUCUUAUAUUGGUGGACCUGUGAAUUACAUGGGAGACAGUUCAAAGACUCCAGGACAACCUCUGUUCCAAGGCCUUCAGAAGACACAUCGUGAUUGUCGCAAAUCCGGUAGUGAGACACAGAGAGACCAAAGUCAAUGCAGAGAAGUCCAUCUUCUGUCUGAAACUCCCUUCUGGGACUUCCUUUGUAUUCAGGGACAGUCCCCAUUGGGCAGGAUUCCUUGGCAGGAAGCACAUCCAGCCAACCUCUGGGGCUAAAGGGGCCAGAUGUAUACUCUCCCUGUCAGCUGGCAACUGAAGAGUGCAUUUCCAAAGCUUGGCCAAGCAAUGCUCUUACCUGGGAUUCUGGAGUGUAGGGCAUUAUUCAUGCAGGAGCAGCAGGAAUGGGGAUGUAGUUGACCCUUGCUGCCAGUGGUGUGGAAGGUCCAGUCAGAAGGGCCCAAAAACAUGUUGUUCCUGCUGAGCUGAUUGUUCAUGCCUCAGUUCCUGCCUAUUUCCCAAGCCUGGCUCUGCCACCAUCACAUUGGUUUGUGAGCUACCUGAGAUCACUGCAAUACAUUCCCUUCCUGCUUAAGUUAGCCAGCAUUUGUUUAUUAUGCUUGUGACCAAGGAUCCCACCUGAUACACCAUUUGUUGCCUCUCAAUGCUUGCUCUGCCUAGCUCUUACUGUCAGAGAUGUAUGAGAAAAUGAAGAAUGUUAAAGAAUUUUUUAUGCUAAAUACUGAAGAAUGCUAAAUAAAGGACUUAAGAAGGAACUAACAACAGCCACUUUGCAACAACAUCUCAUCAUCUUUAGCAGAGAGAAUAACAGUAACAGAGCAACAGCCCAGGCAAAACAACCAAAUGAUCCAAUAUCCAGUAGAAAUCACCAGCCAGACAGGGGACUCCACAAAGAAAGAGGAACAAAGUCACAAGCCAGGAACUCAAGAAUUACAGUAACCUAUUGAGGACAAUGUUAAGUGAGGACUUGC
This 1272-nucleotide long non-coding RNA is filed under the name Homo sapiens (human). RNAcentral describes it as "HSALNT0225427". The record is from RNAcentral. Lineage: Eukaryota; Metazoa; Chordata; Mammalia; Primates; Hominidae.